This 6287-nucleotide long non-coding RNA is filed under the name Sus scrofa (pig). RNAcentral describes it as "lncRNA (ENSSSCG00015069360.1)". The record is from RNAcentral. Lineage: Eukaryota; Metazoa; Chordata; Mammalia; Artiodactyla; Suidae.
GGAGUUCCCAUUGUCGCUCAGCAGUAACAAACACAAUUAGUAUCCAUGAGGACUUGGGUUUGAUCCCUGGCCUCACUCAGUGGUUUGAGGAUCCAGUGUUGCCAUGAGGUGUGGUGUAGGUUGCAUACUCAGCUCGGGUCUGGUGUUGCUGUGGCUGUGCUGUAGGCUGGCUGCUGCAGCUCCGAUUCAACCCCAAGCUUGCAAACUUCCAUAUUCGUGAUGCACCCCUAAAAAGAAAAAAAAAGUAAGUAAAAGGAAGAUGGGGAGUUCCUGUUGUGGUGCAGCGGAGAAAUGAAUCCGACUAGGAACCCAUGAGGUUGCAGGUUUGAUCCCUGGCCUCACUCAGUGGGUUAGGGAUCUGGUGUUGCUGUGAGCUGUGAUAUAAGUUGCAGACGCGGCUUGGAUCUGGCGUUGCUGUGGCCUGGUGUAGGCUGGCCGCUGUAGCUCCGAUUGGACCCCUAGCCUGGGAACCUCCAUAUGCCUCAGGUGUGGCCCUAAAAAGCAAAAAAGAAAAAGGAAGAUGGAAGUCCUUGUAAGGACUUGAGAUUCAUCUUGAAGUUGAGACUAGGAAAAAGUGCAGACAAUAAGAGACAUCAUUUGUUACUUUUAGAGCAAGAGGAAUUAUUAGAGGCUAGAGUUCCACUUGGAGUUGAAGGUGUCACGUUAGCAACUGGAAAGCAGAAUACUCAACCUCGGUUUUCUUUACUCUCCCCCAAAGGAAAGCAUUUCUAAGCUGGAAUGAGUCAAGCAAAAUAGUUUCAAGGAAAUUGCAACUCCAAAUGGAAGAUAAUAAGCACACCUAAGCACCCAGCCAUUUUAAAUGAGUUGCAAAUCCCAAGGUAUUCAAAAACCUUUGCAGAGAAGAUCCUGGAACCCUUGCCAGUGUAACUGAGAAAGCCAUGGAGGAAAGGAAGGGGGCCCCAGUGCCUGAUGGCUGCAAGUGUCCUAGUAUCAGAAAAGAGGAAAAGGUAGAUUCUGGAAAUUCUAAGUGGGUACGUUUCAGGUGAAUUCCAAAAUUUGUUUUGGAAUAUAUUACACUGUGGGUUUGAGAAUACCUAGGAAAAGAAUCGGUACAUCCACCAAGAACAAGAUACAGUAAAUAAUAAUACCAACAAUAAUCUCAUUUGCUGUUAUUUAUUUGAAAGUCCACUAGGAAAAUUUCCUUGGUCACUUCCAGUUAGAUAUUGAAUGCCUCCCUGGCCAGGCUCACAAUGAAACAGUGACCUCAGGGUUGCCCUUUCAGGUGGAUUUCUAGCCCAUUUAACCAAUGUACUCCUCCACCCAAGUUGGUGAUUGAGUUGAUGUAAAUCUGGGGACAGGUCUUACCAUUAAUGCUUCUGGACUCUGCGUUUGGUCAGCUCAGUGGUUUUCGUGUCUGCCACACUCACAGUGCAGAAGGCACCCCUAUUGGGAGGAAAAGCUAAUAUUUGGACGUCAGAAGCAAGAUUUUAAGUAUCUUGAAACAGUGGGCUGAAACCAACAGGAUGGAUUUAAAAGAAGUGGAAAGACCUGCAUUUAUAAAUAUUUUUAAAAAUCACCUGCACUAGCACUGGGUGAAAGUAGUUUGACUUGACAGUGGUGCAUGUGAAAAGGCUAAGGGCUUUCAGCCGAACUCAGGUUGAAUAGAAGCCAGCAGGAACCGAGCAGCUGCUUUGAAAGAUAGUCGUUCUCCCCGCCUUUUAAAGUUUUAAGUGCAAAAGGGUGAAACAGUGAAAAGUAUGUCUCUCUAUCAGAACCAUUUCUCUUCCCAGGAGGCAACUGCUGUUAACAGUUUCUAGAAGAUCCUCUCAGAGGUAUUCUGUGCACAUAAAAGCAAAUGCAGAAACUUCCCUUGUGGCUGCAUUGCUGGAGCUGUGGUGCAGGCUGCAACUGCGGCUCAGUUUCUAUCCCUGUAUCCCCGGCCUGGAAACUUCCACAUGCCGUGGUUGCAGCCCAAAAAAAAAAAAAAAAAAGGCAAAUGCAUACUUUUUUUUUUUAACAGAAAUGGUAGCAUACUGUACACUUUUUUUUCACUUAACAGUAAAUCUUAAGACAUUAUUUCACAUUACAAAAUGACCCCUCAUUUUUUUUUCAAAGGGUGCCUGCAUAGUAUUCUAUGUAUCAGAAUUUAUUGAAUGGGUCCUCUGUUGCUGGACAUGUAGAUUGUUUCCAGUAUUUUGCUGUUACGAACAAUGCUGCAAUUAAGAAUAUGUCAUUUCAAACAAGUGGACUUAUAUCUGAAGAACAGCUUUUCAGGUGGUAGAAUCCCUGAGUUGAAGGGCAGGCACAUUUUCUGUCUUUUUUUUUUUAGGGCGGCACCCCCCGGCCUAUUGAGGUUCCCAGGCUAGGGGUCGAAUUGGAGCUGCUGUAGCCUACGCCUCAGCAACACCAGAUCUGAGCCACAUUUGCAACCUACAUCACAGCUCACAGCAAUACCGUAUCUUUAACCCACUGAGCGAGGCCAGGGAUCGAACCUGCGACCUCAUGGAUGUUAGGUUCAUUUCCACUGAACCACAAGGGAACUCUGGCACACACAUUUUAAAAUGUGCUAGAUACUGGAGUUCCCAUCGUGGCUCAGUGGUUAGCGAACCUGCGUAGGAUCCAUGAGGAUGCAGGUUCAAUCCCUUGCCUUGCUAAAUGGGUUAAGACUCCGGCGUUUCCUGAGCUGUGGUGUAGGUCAAAGAAGGGGCUUGGAUCCUGCAUUGCUGUGGCUGUGGUAUAGGCCGGCCACUACAGCUCUGAUUCGACCCCUAGCCUGGGAACUUCCACAUGCAGCAGCGGGUGGGACCCUAAAAAUGCAAAGAAAAAAAAAAAAGACCUACAACAAUAGCUCAGGUAAAGAGCCUGGUUUUGGGGAGAAACUCCAUAACUGUACUGCAUUUCACUCCAGCUUUAGUUGUUGUUGUUGUUGGUUUAGGAGGAGUGUUGUUUGUUUGCUUUUUUAGGGCAAAAUAGGAUCCUUAACCCACUGAGCAAGGCCAGGGAUCAAACCUGCACCCUCACGGAGACUAGUCAGGUUAAGUCAGCUUCGUUUCCACUGAGCCACAACGGGAACUCCCUUCACUCCAGUUUUGACAAAUUCUGGUUCAGUGUUCCAACUCUAUUGCUGCAGUAACCCAAAAGGUUCUGGUUUAAAUCAACCAAAAUCAAUUUUAUCCCUUGUGGGGCUGGAGGCGCGCUGGGUUCAGCCAGGUGAUUCUCGUUCAGAGGCCUGUGUACAGUAGGAAUCGGACGGUGUCUGGGCCCAGAGCCAUCUGGGUGGUUUCCUCACCCAUACUGCCAGCAGUUGACACUGGAACCUCAGCUGGGUCAGGCCCAGCUUCGUGGGAUGAGCUUGUGCAACUACUCAAGGUCCCACACUUGGAAGGGCUCUGUGUUUGAGUUAAUGCUCUUUGUCACCAUCUAAAUUAAAGAGGCCCUGCCUUUUCAUCUGCCUUUUCAUGCUGGACCUUACAAAUUAAAUAACUGGUCCUGACUGGGGCUGCUGGCCAUAACAUCUGCACGUGGCCUUUCCAUAUGGCCUGAGCUCUCUCACAUCAUGAUGGCUGGAACCCAAGUGUGACUUUUAAGAGAGAAAGCGCCAAGCAGUAGCAGUAUCAUCUAUCAUGACCCAACCUAAGUCCUCCUCUUAGAGGGAAGUGGCAUGGUCCCAAUGUAAGAAGAGCAGAUGGGAUGGGAGAUACUGUCACGCUGUCUUUGGAAAUGCAACGUGCCACGUCUGGUCAGGAGCUGGCCACCUCUGCAUCCUUGGCCUCAACCGCCCCAUCUGCACAAGGGACCUGGGGGCUCCCUUCUGGGAAAAGGGCCAACGGAGGGUACCUUGAUCCUCGAGGCCUCUCUCACCUUCCCCCCAUUUCAUGUUGUUUACCAGGCUCUCAGAGGGGUUGGAAACAGGGGCAGUGGGGCCAGGAGCCCAACCCAGGAGUUGGAAAUGUCUUUCCCCCCCGCUAAGGCUGAAUUCUCCAAGGAAGGCAAGGACUCAGCGCCCUGACAUCUGUUUCUCCUGCAGGCAUCUCUGCUUGGCUAACAUUCCUCCCCUUUCAUUUCUCCCUGGGGUGUGUUGUUGUCUUUCUCAUUAGCUUCCCCUCAACUCCCAGCAAGGUCCCUAGACUCCGAGCUCUGCUAAUUCCCCUGUAAUCCACUGGCAGACCAGGAAGCUAAUUAAAUUGUGAGCUUGUGCGCGCGCUCUGUCAGUCUCUGCCUCUCAGCCUCUUGUCCGUCUCUUCUCCACCCCUGUCCUCCCUUUCUUUUGCUUUCUGACUAGUCCUUCAUAGUUCAAAUUCAUCCGGACACUUUGAGUAUAUGCUUGUCCAUCUCCCUGCCUCUCCUCGCUGUGUCUGUCUCCUGCCUUCUAGUCUGUGGCUGGAGUAAUCUUACAAUACUGCUCUGAGCCCUCGCCCCUCGGCUGCAGGAUAAACCAAGCUCCUUAGCUCCUUAGCUCAGCAUUCAAGCCCCAUACCCCUCACCUGCCAUGCCUCCUCCACAAACCCUUCCCUCUUGAACUGAGCCACAUGCAGGCCCAUCUAUGCCAUCUCCACACUUUCGUUCACACUCUUACCUUUGACUGGAUCUCACUCCCUCCCUCCUCUUUCAGCAUUAUGUAAAAUCUUCACCGUCCUUUAGAAAUAACUUCUGUGACACCUUCUCUGACCCCCCAGGUGGAAUUUCUCCCCCUCUGAGGGCUCUCCUAGUGCUGAUCUCUUUUUACCUAUUACGGUUCUUUACGUCCACAUCCAGCCACUUGCACUAAGUGAUUAACUCCUUGAACUCAGGAUUUUUAGGUCCUAUUCUUCUCAGCCUCCUCCUGAGUACCUCACCUGUGUCCCACUGUGUCUUAUAACCUUUCAUUGUUGUCUCCUGGCCUAAGGUGAGGAGCUCCAGCCUUCAUGCAUUCAUUCCAGGAAAAAGGAAAAGAAGAGGGAAGGCUGAAAGAAUGGGUCUCCCAGCUGAGUCAGACUUUCUUUUUUCUUUUCUUUUUCGGGCUGCACCUGUGACAUAUAGAAGUUCCCAGGCUAGGGGUCUAAUCAAAGCUGUAGCCGCUGGCCUAUACCACAGCCACAGCAAUGCCAGAUCGGAGCUGCAUUUGCAACCUACACCACAGCACACAGCAAUGCGUGAUCCUUAACCCACUGAGCGAGGCCAGGGAUCAAACCCACAUCCUCAUGGAUUCUAGUCGGGUUCAUUAACCGCUGAGCCACGAAGGGAAUGCCCGAAUCAGUCCCUUUAAAGCACUUUCUCUCCCAAUAACUUCUGCUUACAUCUCAAUGACCAGGCCUAACUGUAGGAGUCACUGGGUACCUUGCCUCCCUUCAAACUCAAAAGCCCAUUCCUCAUUUUAUAGGUGAAAAAAAUAAGGCCCAGCAAAGAUCAGACAAUUAGGGAGGCCACAGAGCAUAGUGGUUAAGGAGCUACACAGGUUUUAGAACUACACAGAUGUGAGUUUGAAUCCUUGCCUUUGUAUUCAUCUCUUUGUUCUUCAUUUGUCAAAUGGGGUUAAGGACACCUCCUUCAGGGGAUGUUAAGAAAUUAACAGGUGAAAUGAAAAAGCACUUAGCAAGAGUUGUUGUUCAUUGUCUCAGUUUGGGUUCCCCUAAAAGCUGACCCUGAGACAGAUCUGGAUAAAGUUGUUUAUUUAGGAGGUAAUCCCAGAAGCAAGCUGAGGGAGUAGAGAAGUGAGACAAGCAAGAGAGGAAAGCCAGCAAAGCACACAGGGAUAAGCAGCUUUUCCCCAGGGACAACUUAGGUUCUAUUCUGCUGGAGUGUCCCUGAGACUAGAACAUGCCUAGAAACUGGGAAUUGCCCUGCUCUCAGAGGGACUGAAAGCUAGAGGGUUUAUCCACUCACUCUGGACCCUUCUUGUUUGAGGAUUACCCUGGGGGUAUUAAUUCUCCACGUCCAGCCUGCUGCACACUCACUUCCAGAGCUGGGAAUGUCUCAGGAGAGACACAAGGAGCAGUUCAGGAACUGUCUGCAGGUGACCUCCACAUGGGCCUGGGGGGUUGAGUGGGGGUACCAGUAGCACCUGCUACACAAUGAACCAAACUAAAGAGUUUCUAUCGUGGCUUAGACGUAAUGAACCCAACUAGUAUCCAUGAGAAUGUGGGUUUGAUCCCUGGCCUUGAUCAGUGCGUUAAGAAUCUGGCAUUGCCUUGAGCUGUGGUGUUGGUACAGACACAGAUCAGACCUGGCGUUGCUGUGGCUCUGGCGUAGGCCAGCAGCUACAGCUCUGAUCUGACCCCUAACCUGGGAACUUCCAUAUGCCACGGGUGCGGCCCUAAAAAGACAAAAAAAGAAAAGAAAAAGAAAAA